CACAACAAAUAUUUGUGCUCAACUAUGUUGACCAUCCAGAACUACAUAACAAUUCUCAUUUCCACAAACUCUGACCCUGUUGAAAAAUAGAAAUGAAAUAUAUUCAGAUACUGAAUUGAUGAAUCAUUUAUUUCAAAUUCAUAUACAGGGACCAAAUCACGACAAUUCUUUCUAUUAACAAAACAUUUGAAGUAAAAUUCAUGCGUUUCACGGAUUCAAGUGAACAAACCACAUUGAAGGUUUACAUUGGUCAACCAGGACGGGGCAUAAAGGCCGUGGAGAGGCUGAGGUGGAGAGUAUAGCUAAAAGAGUGACUGCUAAUCAGAAUCCAAUCCAAACUAAUAUUAAUGCUGUCUAGUGCAAUUUUAAGUUACAAGAAAAUAACAGCAGUGCCUGACCCACAGGAUAAGACUGAACUGACAAUCAACCUGAGUUUAAUCUUGGUAUUCGGUAACCAAGGCUGAAAUAAGAUCAUCAAUGCAAUUUGAAAUUGUGUGAGUGAGAGUGGGGUUGGGCAAUGAUAUAAUCACGGGUGUUUUGUUGAGGCUGCAAACUCGAGGUUCUGAUGUCGAGUGGCCCAGAUAGCCACCCCACGAUCACGAGUGCUGUGUUGCUUUGAUACAUUAAUUAAACCUCAGACUAAUAAACCUUAAAACACCAAAUCUGGUGUUUUUAUCCUAUUAUUAUACGAAUUGCCCCCCAGUUUUCGAUCAAGCUGAAGUUGUCCUUAAGCUGCAGAGAGGCUGGCUCAACUGUCGCUGCCGAGUCAGGGUUGUGAAGAUGUCCUGUUGAUUCCGGAUGUCUCUUAAAUGGUGGAUCCCAGCGUCUUCAGUUCGGUCCCUGGAAAAAGAAAAAAGAUCAUUCCCUCCAGUCCCCGUUGACCUCAUUCUUGUCAGAAUGUAUAGCAUCGUCAAAUUUUUGGGGGAAAGGACUGUUGGCAUAGUGGCCAGUAAUUGGAUUAUAAAAGAGGGAGAUGUAAGUACAUGCGAAAAACCUUUAUGUCAAUCAUUUCAAAAAUUCUAUGCAAGUUCUGCAAAACUAUUUUGUUUUCCAUUUCAGAAGACAUGCAGCUACUGGCCACUCCACAAGCCCACACAGAGGGCAAAGGACAAAGAUUUGCCCGAUCCUAAAACCUGGCUAAAAAGGCCAAUAAAAAUAUUUGUGUGUUAAUGUGUGUUAAUGGGCGACAAAUAAAUAAGUGGUGACAUGCAACACAUUUAAAAGAGUGUAAUUUCUAAUUGUUUUGGCCCACCUGACUGUUUAGAUGAUUGGGAUCAGGCCGUCAGGAGGAACAAGAGGGCGGAGACAAAGUCCUGUGUGGAGACAGGAAAUGAGGACAUAGGGAGGCGCAUCAUAGUCAAACCCCAAAAAUGUAUUCACACCGGUAUAUCUGCACAUCCUUGUGUACUGUAUUAACUUAGUGUUAAAAGUGCAAGCAGCAAUUCUAAACAAUGUGUAAACAUGUAACACUGUUAUUUACUUUCGGCUAAUAUGAUUCUGUUCAGGUGAAAAGAGAACAAAGAAACGAAAUGGGAAAAAGGCAGGACAAGGUCCACAUUUCAGGACUUCCCUUCCUCCUCCACCCCAGAUAGAAUCCCCCAUUCCACGGCGUAGCGCACUACAAAUAUCUUCACCCCCUGUGACUGAUGACGGUAGAGUUUUGCAAGGGAAUGAUGGUUAAAAACAAAUACAAAUAAUUGCAUAGAAGUCAAGAAGACACUAUGUUUCGAAACAAAAACACAUAACCUAAAUUCUUAUCUUGUUCUUUCUGUAGAUUACUCCCCUCCUUCACCGGCAAGAGACGUUUUUACAGAAAAUGAUGGUAAAGUUAUGCAUGGUAAUGAUGACGAAUGAUGAUGACAUAACAGUAAUUCUAUGAGCCAAGACAACAAAGAGUUUGAAACCAAAAAAAAACAUUGAAUUAUUAUUUUGUACUUCCUGCAGAUGAUUCGAUUGCGUCUUCAUUUGAAACGCCAUUGCCUAUCUCUACUGGGGACGGUAAAGUGGCGGGUGGAGAGGGUGGUUAAAACCAAACUAGUAACUCUUAUCAACAGGUUAUGACAGUCAUCUGUCUAUACUAACCCUACACAUUAUGCUUUAUACACAUUACUUAGGUGACCGAAGAGAGAGAGAAACCAUACCAAUCUGGGCAAAGGAAUAUCAACGGUAAUACAUGUAUUGAACUGUAUUGCACUGUAUGCAAAUGACACCAAAUACUACUAAAUACACUCCUCUCAUCUCAACAUAAUUUUUUUUACAGCGACAUUGGAGGUUCUGCUCCUGUUGGGCAAAAUAACCUGCUGAGUACAUCACAUGUACAUUAUAAAUAUAGCUAACUCCUACCCUAGCUUAAUGAGCACAUCACAUGGCAGUCACCUUAUAAUAUAGUCAACUUUUAACACAUAACACAUACAUGAGAAUAUAGUCAGGUCAGGGCCGGAGCCAGGGCCCCAUUUCUCCUCCCGGCAGAUGGUAGACACUCAGACAAUGCACCAGUCAUCCUCAAGAACGGGAGGGCCACAACAGGAGAUGCUCUGAAGCUCUCCCCCGUGAGGAGGAACACAAGAAGAUAUACAUGCAUACACUAGUGCCUGGGAGCCAAGGUCAAGUAAAAACACACAGAACCACACACAUCUCAAACGCACACACCUCAUCACGAGGAGAUACAGCAUAAGACUGUAUCACACUGAGACUCUUCACCUUCUUCUGAAGCAGACCUUCCACGGAGGCGAAGCUCCGGACGAACCAUCAGCGCUGAUUAGGGACUUAGACAUAUUCGAUUUCUCACGCUUUAUGACUCUGUAUAACCGUUGCCACUUUACUUAAUAAAUCCAAGGUCCUCGUGCCGACAGACUUUAUUACCUCUCCGUCUCAUUUCAUCUGGUCCAGUAACUAGACAGACCGUUUUUCCCUUCACUCCGAAGGCUUGAGACUGUUGAGCAGAAUCAGAGAGAGGCUCUAUUAUUGCUACGGGCAAAUCGACAUGGGGACCCUAGGGAAGCUAGUGUCGAGUUACUGCAGGCGCAAACUCAGGCCGAACUACAGGAACUCGAGGAGCACCUUAAAAAUAGAGAUUUCACCAAAAAAAUUGUAAAUGUACGAAUAAUGGUGAAGUGACUUUAGGCUAUAUUGUACACAUGCCACCAAGUGUGCCACAUGGCCCUGCCAUUGAGCUUUUUUCAUCUUUAGUUCCCUGUUGUUAGCUAAGUAGUUAGAGAUGAGCAGUCCAUCUUCAAAUACCUUAAUUUGGUUCACCCCCCUCAAAAGAAAACACCACCAACACCACAUGAAAAAUACAAUGCAAAUACUUGCCUUAACCAUGGUUGUUUGAUUUCCUUAGAUUUCCCAUCUGAGCCUAGUUGGGGGGUCCAAUCCUGGGGAGUGUGUGAGGAGGGUGUUGCGCUCUGUGGCCUCAAACUUUGUUUGGAGCAGCUACAGCCUUAGGGGAAAGAAGGGGAAGAUGCCACUGCUUGGCACAGCAGUGGGCAGUACCAUCAAACGUAAGUCUAAAUAUGUGCAAACAAAUCUAUUUAGCUGUUUCAGCUAUUUUUCUACACCUUUUAGCUGAUGUGAUCUGUUUCUUCCAAAGACUCCUCAUUUAGGGAUGGACAUGAUUAAUCGACGAUCGACUAAUUGAUCAUUAAGAAUUUCGUCGAUGACGUACAUUUUUCAUCGAUAAAACUAAUGCUAAAAAAUAUCUUCACACGGUGUGUCUUUUUACAAUUACCAUUCGUAUUGUUGUUCAGCAGAGAAAUACAGACGGACCAAUUGCGAACUACUGCAACUGCUGAUGCCAUCUCUCCAAGUUAAAAAGUAGCCGCACCCACCCCAAACUAAUCGGAAUAAGUGUAUAGAUGUCGAUUAUAGCCGACUACACCACCUAUUCUAUUCCACAUGGAAUUCUAUUCCGAUCAGAGAAUUAUAUUUAGAUUAGCCGCGUUUACAUGGACACUUCUGAUCCGAUUCGAUUUCUAAUCGGAAUAUAUAUAUUCUUAUCAUGCAAUCCGAGUGUACUGUAUAUAUGGCAGUUACAA
RNAcentral lists this long non-coding RNA (4034 nucleotides) under Gadus morhua (Atlantic cod). RNAcentral describes it as "lncRNA (ENSGMOG00000025317.1)". Lineage: Eukaryota; Metazoa; Chordata; Actinopteri; Gadiformes; Gadidae. The record is from RNAcentral.